CAGAUGUGAAAGACCCGGGGCGUCAACCUCGGAAUAGCAUUUGAAACUAGGCAGACUAGAGUACUGUAGAGGGGGGUAGGAAUUUCUAGGUGUAGCGGUGAAAUAGCGUAGAGAUCUGAAGGAAUACCGGUGGCGAAGGCGGCCCCCUCGGACAGAUACUGACACUCAGAUGCGAAAGCGUGGGGAGCAAACAGGAUUAGAUACCCUGGUAG
Molecule: ribosomal RNA, 212 nt
Filed under: uncultured bacterium
Lineage: Bacteria
Description: partial 16S ribosomal RNA
Rfam family: Bacterial small subunit ribosomal RNA
Source: RNAcentral